GUCCGGUUGAUCCUGCCGGCGAUCACCGCUAUUGGAAUCCGCUUAAGACAUGCGAGUUGAGAGGGUUUAGACCCUCGGCAUACUGCUCAGUAACACGCGGACAAUCUGCCCUAAGGUGGGGAAUAAUCUCGGGAAACUGAGCAUAAUACCCCAUAGGCCAUGGAUGCUGGAAUGCUCCAUGGCCCAAAGCUCCGGCGCCUUAGGAUGAGUCUGCGGCCUAUCAGGUCGUAGUGGGUGUAACGGACCCACUAGCCAACGACGGGUACGGGCGUUGGGAGACGUCGCCCGGAGAUGGAUUCUGAGACACGAAUCCAGGCCCUACGGGGCGCAGCAGUCGCGAAAACUUGUCAAUGGGGGAAACCCCGAACAGGGGAGUCCAAGUGCUUGCACUUUGUGUAAGCUGUUCGGUUGUCUAAAAAACAUCCGAAGGAAGGGCUGGGUAAGACAGGUGCCAGCCGCCGCGGUAAUACCUGCAGCCCGAGUGGUGAUCGAUUUUAUUGAGCCUAAAGCGUCCGUAGCCGGACCAGUAAACCCUUGGGUAAAUUGGGCAGCUUAACUGUCCGAAUUCCGAGGGGACUGCUGGUCUUGGGACCGGGAGAGGUCAGAGGAACUCCAGGGGUAGGGGCUAAAUCCUGUAAUCCUUGGGGGACCACCAGUGGCGAAGGCGUCGUGACUAGAACGGAUCCGACGGUAAGGGACGAAACCCGUGGGGCGCGAACCGGAUUAGAUACCCGGGUAGUCCAGGGCGUAAACGCUGCAGGCUUGGUGUUGGGGACCCUACGAGGGUGCCCAGGUGCCGGAGUGAAGAUGUUAAGCCGUGCCGCUUGGGGAGUACGUCCGCAAGGAUGAAACUUAAAGGAAUUGGCGGGAGAGCACA
This 877-nucleotide ribosomal RNA is filed under the name uncultured archaeon. Its description in RNAcentral is "bacterial SSU rRNA". It matches the Rfam family "Archaeal small subunit ribosomal RNA", at positions 1 to 880 of the family's 1478-position model. The record is from RNAcentral.